UGGGGAAUUUUGCGCAAUGGGGGAAACCCUGACGCAGCAACGCCGCGUGGAGGAUGAAGGCCUUUGGGUUGUAAACUCCUGUCAGUGGGGAAGAAAAGUCGCGGGUUAAUACCCCGAGGCUUUGACGGUAUCCGCAGAGGAAGCCCCGGCUAACUCUGUGCCAGCAGCCGCGGUAAUACAGAGGGGGCAAGCGUUAUUCGGAAUUAUUGGGCGUAAAGGGCGCGUAGGCGGCUUGGCAAGUGGAAGGUGAAAUCCCUCGGCUCAACCGAGGAACUGCCCUCCAAACUGCCGAGCUCGAGUCCGGGAGAGGUGAGUGGAAUUCCCAGUGUAGCGGUGAAAUGCGUAGAUAUUGGGAGGAACACCAGUGGCGAAGGCGGCUCACUGGACCGGAACUGACGCUGAGGCGCGAAAGCGUGGGGAGCAA
This 424-nucleotide ribosomal RNA is filed under the name uncultured bacterium. RNAcentral's name for it is "bacterial SSU rRNA". It matches the Rfam family "Bacterial small subunit ribosomal RNA", at positions 355 to 771 of the family's 1533-position model. The record is from RNAcentral.